UGGGGAUUAGUGGCGAACGGGUGAGUAACACGUGGGCAAUCUGCCCUUCACUCUGGGACAAGCCCUGGAAACGGGGUCUAAUACCGGAUAACACUUCCACUCUCCUGAGUGGUGGUUAAAAGCUCCGGCGGUGAAGGAUGAGCCCGCGGCCUAUCAGCUUGUUGGUGAGGUAAUGGCUCACCAAGGCGACGACGGGUAGCCGGCCUGAGAGGGCGACCGGCCACACUGGGACUGAGACACGGCCCAGACUCCUACGGGAGGCAGCAGUGGGGAAUAUUGCACAAUGGGCGAAAGCCUGAUGCAGCGACGCCGCGUGAGGGAUGACGGCCUUCGGGUUGUAAACCUCUUUCAGCAGGGAAGAAGCGAAAGUGACGGUACCUGCAGAAGAAGCGCCGGCUAACUACGUGCCAGCAGCCGCGGUAAUACGUAGGGCGCAAGCGUUGUCCGGAAUUAUUGGGCGUAAAGAGCUCGUAGGCGGCUUGUCACGUCGGGUGUGAAAGCCCGGGGCUUAACCCCGGGUCUGCAUUCGAUACGGGCUAGCUAGAGUGUGGUAGGGGAGAUCGGAAUUCCUGGUGUAGCGGUGAAAUGCGCAGAUAUCAGGAGGAACACCGGUGGCGAAGGCGGAUCUCUGGGCCAUUACUGACGCUGAGGAGCGAAAGCGUGGGGAGCGAACAGGAUUAGAUACCCUGGUAGUCCACGCCGUAAACGGUGGGAACUAGGUGUUGGCGACAUUCCACGUCGUCGGUGCCGC
Molecule: ribosomal RNA, 751 nt
Filed under: Streptomyces sp.
Lineage: Bacteria; Bacillati; Actinomycetota; Actinomycetes; Kitasatosporales; Streptomycetaceae
Description: bacterial SSU rRNA
Rfam family: Bacterial small subunit ribosomal RNA
Source: RNAcentral